UACGUAGGGGGCAAGCGUUGUCCGGAAUCAUUGGGCGUAAAGCGCGUGUAGGCGGCUCGAUAAGUCUGCUGUGAAAGUCCAGGGCUCAACCCUGGGAUGCCGGUGGAUACUGUCGAGCUCGAGUCCGGAAGAGGCGAGUGGAAUUCCUGGUGUAGCGGUGAAAUGCGCAGAUAUCAGGAGGAACACCGAUGGCGAAGGCAGCUCGCUGGGACGGUACUGACGCUGAGGCGCGAAAGCGUGGGGAGCGAACAGG
This 253-nucleotide ribosomal RNA is filed under the name uncultured bacterium. RNAcentral's name for it is "partial 16S ribosomal RNA". It matches the Rfam family "Bacterial small subunit ribosomal RNA", at positions 524 to 776 of the family's 1533-position model. The record is from RNAcentral.